RNAcentral lists this ribosomal RNA (457 nucleotides) under uncultured Sulfuricurvum sp. RNAcentral's name for it is "bacterial SSU rRNA". It matches the Rfam family "Bacterial small subunit ribosomal RNA", at positions 930 to 1382 of the family's 1533-position model. The record is from RNAcentral. Lineage: Bacteria; Pseudomonadati; Campylobacterota; Epsilonproteobacteria; Campylobacterales; Sulfurimonadaceae.
AGGUGGAGCAUUGUUGGUUUAAUUCGAAGAUACACGAAGAACCUUACCUGGCCUUGACAUGGUAGGAACCUUAAGAGAGUUAGGGGUGCUAGCUUGCUAGAACCUACACACAGGUGCUGCACGGCUGUCGUCAGCUCGUGUCGUGAGAUGUUGGGUUAAGUCCCGCAACGAGCGCAACCCUCGUCCUUAGUUGCUAACAGUUCGGCUGAGCACUCUAGGGAGACUGCCUUCGCAAGGAGGAGGAAGGUGAGGACGACGUCAAGUCAUCAUGGCCCUUACGGCCAGGGCUACACACGUGCUACAAUGGGGCGUACAGAGAGCUGCGAUACCGCGAGGUGGAGCCAAUCUCUUAAAGCGUCUCUCAGUUCGGAUUGUUCUCUGCAACUCGAGAACAUGAAGCUGGAAUCACUAGUAAUCGCAGAUCAGCUAUGCUGCGGUGAAUACGUUCCCGGGUCUU